RNA transcript from Grus americana (Whooping crane), 1030 nucleotides. It is a transcript of the gene named ATPase H+ transporting V1 subunit F, with no coding region annotated. The transcript is spliced from 3 exons. NCBI's taxonomy places the organism in Eukaryota, Metazoa, Chordata, Aves, Gruiformes, Gruidae. The record is from RefSeq and is a predicted model, not a curated record.
CCUCUGCGGCGCGCAUGCGCAGCGGUGCCCCGGGGCCGGUGGCGGUGCGGGCCAUGGCGGGGCGCGGGAAGCUGAUCGCGGUGGUGGGGGACGAGGACACGGUGACCGGGUUCCUGCUGGGCGGCGUGGGGGAGCUGGAUAAGCACCGCAAGCCUAACUUCCUGGUGGUGGAGAAGGAAACCAGCCUGGCCGAGAUCGAGGAGACGUUCCGGAGCUUCCUGAACCGGGAGGACAUCGGGAUCAUCCUGAUCAGCCAGUGCCUGGCCGAGCUGAUCCGCCACGCCGUGGAGGCGCACGCCCGCCCGCUGCCCGCCGUGCUGGAGAUCCCCUCCAAGGAGCACCCCUACGACCCCGCCAAGGACUCCGUCCUGCGCCGCGCCCGCGGGGUCUUCAGCCCCGAGGACAUGCGCUAGGCACGUCCCCGCACCCACCCGGGGUCCCUGCACCCACCCCCGGGGGUCCCUGCACCCACCCCCGGGGGUCCCCGCCCCAAGCGUCCCCACCCCAGGGUGCUGCUGGGGGUCCUCACCCCACCCCAGGGAUCCCCACCCCAGGGUGUUGCUGGGGGUCCUCACCCCAUCCCAAGGGUCCUCACCCCACCCCAGGGUGCUGUCAGAGGGUCUCCACCCCAUCCCAAGGGUCCCCCCCCCACCCCAGGGUGCUGCAGGGGGUCCUCACCCCACCCCAAGGGUCCUCACCCCACCCCAGGGUGCUGCCGGGGGUCCCCGCGCUGCCCCGUGACACUUGCUCAGCCGCCCUGGGGAAGGGGAAGUGUCACCGCGCCGGCGCUGCCGGAAUCUGCCUGCUCCUGCCUGCUGCUGCCGGAUCCUGCCUGCCACGGCUGGCACAGGCAGGGAGGAGAUGGCUCCGAGAGGGUGUCGGGGUGGGGGGGCACCCCAAGGACACCAGGCGCUUGUGAUGUCACCGUGGGACCCCAGCGGCACCCCAGGGUGGGGGCUGGUGGUCGCUGACCCCCCCGCGUGUGUGUGUCCCCCCCCCCCCCGUGUCCCCAACACGCGCUGUCACCGCU